UGGGGAAUUUUGGACAAUGGGCGAAAGCCUGAUCCAGCAAUGCCGCGUGUGUGAAGAAGGCCUUCGGGUUGUAAAGCACCUUUGUCCGGAAAGAAAUCCUUGGCUCUAAUACAGUCGGGGGAUGACGGUAUCGGAAGAAUAAGCACCGGCUAACUACGUGCCAGCAGCCGCGGUAAUACGUAGGGUGCAAGCGUUAAUCGGAAUUACUGGGCGUAAAGCGUGCGCAGGCGGUUUGCUAAGACCGAUGUGAAAUCCCCGGGCUCAACCUGGGAACUGCAUUGGUGACUGGCAGGCUAGAGUAUGGCAGAGGGGGGUAGAAUUCCACGUGUAGCAGUGAAAUGCGUAGAGAUGUGGAGGAAUACCGAUGGCGAAGGCAGCCCCCUGGGCCAAUACUGACGCUCAUGCACGAAAGCGUGGGGAGCAAACAGGAUUAGAUACCCUGGUAGUCCACGCCCUAAACGAUGUCAACUAGUUGUUGGGGGAUUCAUUUCCUUAGUAACGUAGCUAACGCGUGAAGUUGACCGCCUGGGGAGUACGGUCGCAAGAUUAAAACUCAAAUGAAUUGACGGGGUCAUAGCUGUUUCCUG
RNAcentral lists this ribosomal RNA (587 nucleotides) under uncultured bacterium. Its description in RNAcentral is "partial 16S ribosomal RNA". It matches the Rfam family "Bacterial small subunit ribosomal RNA", at positions 355 to 1376 of the family's 1533-position model. The record is from RNAcentral.